RNAcentral lists this ribosomal RNA (489 nucleotides) under uncultured bacterium. RNAcentral's name for it is "partial 16S ribosomal RNA". It matches the Rfam family "Bacterial small subunit ribosomal RNA", at positions 30 to 507 of the family's 1533-position model. The record is from RNAcentral.
UUGAACGCUGGCGGCAGGCCUAACACAUGCAAGUCGAAUGGUAACAGGAAACAGCUUGCUGUUUCGCUGAAGAGUGGCGGACGGGUGAGUAAUGUCUGGGAAACUGCCUGAUGGAGGGGGAUAACUACUGGAAACGGUAGCUAAUACCGCAUAACGUCGCAAGACCAAAGAGGGGGACCUUCGGGCCUCUUGCCAUCAGAUGUGCCCAGAUGGGAUUAGCUAGUAGGUGGGGUAACGGCUCACCUAGGCGACGAUCCCUAGCUGGUCUGAGAGGAUGACCAGCCACACUGGAACUGAGACACGGUCCAGACUCCUACGGGAGGCAGCAGUGGGGAAUAUUGCACAAUGGGCGCAAGCCUGAUGCAGCCAUGCCGCGUGUAUGAAGAAGGCCUUCGGGUUGUAAAGUACUUUCAGCGGGGAGGAAGGGAGUAAAGUUAAUACCUUUGCUCAUUGACGUUACCCGCAGAAGAAGCACCGGCUAACUCCGUG